RNAcentral lists this ribosomal RNA (476 nucleotides) under uncultured bacterium. RNAcentral describes it as "bacterial SSU rRNA". It matches the Rfam family "Bacterial small subunit ribosomal RNA", at positions 26 to 518 of the family's 1533-position model. The record is from RNAcentral.
AGGACGAACGCUGGCGGCGUGCCUAACACAUGCAAGUCGAGCGAGGAGAUUCCUUCGGGAUGAUCCUAGCGGCGGACGGGUGAGUAACACGUGGGCAACCUGCCUCAUAGAGAGGAAUAGCCUUCCGAAAGGGAGAUUAAUACCUCAUAACAUUGCAGUUUCGCAUGGAACAGCAAUUAAAGGAGUAAUCCGCUAUGAGAUGGGCCCGCGGCGCAUUAGCUAGUUGGUGAGGUAAUGGCUCACCAAGGCGACGAUGCGUAGCCGACCUGAGAGGGUGAUCGGCCACAUUGGGACUGAGACACGGCCCAGACUCCUACGGGAGGCAGCAGUGGGGAAUAUUGCACAAUGGGGGAAACCCUGAUGCCAGCAACGCCGCGUGAGUGAUGACGGCCUUCGGGUUGUAAAGCUCUGUCUUCAGGGACGAUAAUGACGGUACCUGAGGAGGAAGCCACGGCUAACUACGUGCCAGCCGCGGC